Long non-coding RNA from Anguilla anguilla (European eel), 733 nucleotides. RefSeq lists it as uncharacterized. The transcript has 2 exons. The record is from RefSeq and is a predicted model, not a curated record. Lineage: Eukaryota; Metazoa; Chordata; Actinopteri; Anguilliformes; Anguillidae.
GCUGGCGCUGUGUACUGUCCAAGGUAAACAGCACACAGUAGGUGGGGGCUGCUGGCAGCCAUGACAGCCCUCUGGCCUGUUAUUUAUAGCUGUUAGCGUAUGGCGGUUAAUGUGUAACAAGCCCAUGCUGCUUACUAUUCAUGCUACUUCAACAAGAAGGAAUCUGGGGUGAGGCCUUGCGGUGCAGCUGCUUUCAUGUGUUAUCUUCAUGGCGAGGGGAGAGGUUUCUCAAGGUGUUUCCAUGAAGAGCCAGGCUUUGCAGUGCCUGGCCUGUGACAAGCCACUCAAGGGCUUUUGGGAAGGGAGGGGUGGAGCUCAGCUGCCAAAGCUGCAAUACCACAGACAAAAUGAAAUCAGGAGAAAAUAAGCAUUCUGGGUUAGAGAACUGUGUCUGUUUAUUGAAGAAGAACCACAGGACAUCAAAGUUAGCAUGCUUUAUAUUUGGGAGCUGCUGGGUUGUUUAUUGCAGGGAGCUCUACAGUGUUGGUGUGAGCAGAAUGCAGGUGGUGCAGGCUCCCAAAGCUUGGUUCUUUGAGCAGUGGGAGGUUCUGGGUUGACUUUUCCAUAAAAUCCAAGGUCAUUGGACCACUUGGACCAUUUUAAUCCUUUCCUUUCUCUUUAAAAGCCUCUGAACUGUUGUUGCAUCAUUCUCUCUCCCAUGGGGCGCCUCUACCUUCACAUUCCCUUGUGCACCCUCACUGUAAAUUUCCACAAUACAAUAUUUCAGAUCAGA